Bombus huntii is the source of this 2151-nucleotide long non-coding RNA. RefSeq lists it as uncharacterized. The transcript has 2 exons. Lineage: Eukaryota; Metazoa; Arthropoda; Insecta; Hymenoptera; Apidae. The record is from RefSeq and is a predicted model, not a curated record.
UCGCUUGUAUUAACGCGGUGUACCUCAGAAACUGCGAGUUACCGACCGCAUUGCGGUACUUGCUGCCCGAUUCGUGUCCGUGGGUCGGUAACUGGCCAAAAAACGCGAGCAUAAAUUAUGGCUGACUCUUCCUGUAUCGGAUUUUUCGACUGGUCUUCGAACUUCGUCGGCCUCUGCGCGCGUAAUGAAACGAUUGAAAAUUACAGGGGCCCACGGUGAUAGUUAGAGCAGCGAGAUAACAUCGGUCGUGCCACGGCAUUUUAUCGUGUGUUGUUUUAAGCGUACUAACGACCGAGUAAUUAAGUCUGCUAGCACUGCCUCCCUUGAGGCCUCUCUUCUCCUUUCCAAACUCUACUUAUGCGUGUUAAUUAUCGAAUUAAGAAACACGUGUAUAUACUACGUUCAUGUCCGCAUAAAUGUUUGAUGUCUCGCUUAGUGGCUCAGAGUAAACUAUACAAGCCCCAGAAAAAGUUUAGGAAUAAGGUAUGUACUAUGUAUAUAGAGGAUGAUCCCCAUGUAAUUGGAAACAUAACUCGUAACUCCAUAAAUAUUGACGUUAUCGAAAGUUGUUAAUGGCAAAAAAUAUGGCUUUAAAGGAGGUCGUGUAUUAUACUGCUCAAUAUUUUUAGGGAGACUACAGUUGAAGAUUGAAGAAAACAUGGAGAUAACGUUAGAAUAUUGAUAUUUCUUGCGAAACCUAUAAUCUACUAUAAGUUCACCCAUUAUAAUGUUUGAUUAAAUCAAAAUGUUUACCCUGAACACUAAGAUACUUAAUAUUUCCUUAAAUCGGAAACAAACUAAUUAUUAUCUAUAUGACCUAUUUAGGGCCACGUUUAUAUUUUCAGAGACUCUAGGCGCAACAUCAUUAUUAGGCCUAAUUAAAUUGUACAGUUAAGUUUUAGAAUAUGGCCCCAUAGAGAGUAGGACUAAAUGUGGCCCUAAACCGAAGUGUUCACAAUUUAAAAUUAACGAUAUUUCAUUCUUAUUUCCGAAAUCAUACUUCAAAUAUUUUUAUCAGCAACAGCACAAGAAAUCGAGCUAUCAAAUUCACCCACUGAAGUCAACCAAGUAAAGUCAUAAGCCAAGCAUCAAAUACACUAUAGUGACAUAACCUAGCAAUGACAUCCAUAAAUCGGUCGCUGGCAGACAUUUUUAUCAGUCAACCAACGAGAUUAAAAAGCUUCCUGUCACAUGCUUGCACGCAUUCCAUAGUGGUGGCCCAAUCGCAAUCAUGAUUCGCGUCAGUAUGAGAGAAGACAAAUAAAAGACAGCUGCUGCGUUCACAGAAAUAAGACGAGACAAAAUGAACCUUCUUCGUUUCUUUUAUCCAAUAAUGCGUACCGUUCAGUGACGUAUUCCGGAAUACAGGGCCUUACGCGACAUCGAGGGAAACAGAGAAAGGGUAUACACGUGCACAUGUUUGUACAUACACGAGAAAAGGAGAGAGGAAUUGGACGAGGAAAAAUGAUACUUCAUUUCGAUACAAGUAAAUGUAGGAAAGGAAUGUCACGAUCAAGCUAGAGAAAAAAGUUAUAGCUUUUAUAGGAAAAUUACAUAGUCGUGUACGAAAAAGAUGCAAAUUGUACGAAAGAAAGGAAAGAGAAAAUACUAGACGGGCGGAAAUGAAAUUGAAAGAAAACGCGUUCGAAAAAAGGAGGAAGAGUUUACAAAAGGUGUAAAGAAAAGAACAGGAGAGGAAAGGGGGCGUCGAAGACAGGGAGUAGGAGGGAGGUGUGGAAGGAGCACGAGAGUACGGAGCAAGAAACGCAGCACGAGGGCUGUGCACACGAGCUUGGGGAAACAUACGUAUGCGCAUUAAUGUGUGUGAACGCACCGCGUGCGCUAUGCGCUGCGUCUGUCCUUGCGUCCUGGCUCAACACGCCUUGGCAGUUGCCAUGCGGGACACCGGGUUCGUGAGUUGACGUCACUCUAUCUCCCAACAGACGAGUUAAUAUUGAUAAGUAGAAGCGUUACAUGCCCUGGAUGUUGGGAUGAAGGGACAUCAGCUCAAACCAAGUCGAAUAAUCGACGCGCGUUUCGCAAACCAGUACCAUAAUGUGAUCUUUUUCGUUAGCCAAAUAAUGUUUAAGAUACUGAAAGGGUAUGUGGCACGUGAUAUCACUAAUCUAGAAAUAUAUUAUUUUAAAAUUA